UCGAUGUAUGACCAGACAUAGAGAGAACGAACAAGAGGAAAGAAAGUUCAUUUAAGUGGAGAAAGAUAUAAGAAGAUGUACUGUCCAUUCUGUGGUUCCAGCGUGACAUCUUCGCAUGGCUUUUGUGGUGUCUGUGGCAGAGACAUCACAUUUCUAAAAGAUGUGGCUAACAAAGUCCCUGAGGAGAUGCCCACCACUAGUGCGCAUCUAAGUGCACAGCCUAGCACCAGUGCAGCAGGAAGCUCAGCUGUAGAGUCCUUUCAGAAAUAUAGGGAAAUAAAAAAGAGGGAGAGACCUUUUUUACAAAGGGACGGCAUAACUCCAAAAAUAAACAGAAAUUGGUGAAGAUUUCUGUUGGAGUAAUGAGGAGGAUGGAUGGCUGCCUUAAACCUUUGAGAGGGAGGUCACUUCCCCUUAAUGUCGAACCUCAAUGGGCAUGUGAAGAACUGUUGGCUGCUGCCAUAAAAAAGCAGAAAGCCUUUAACCAGGACUUGGAAGAUGGUGCCCAUGUCUUGUUGUACCCUGAUGCGAGGGUGAUAACAAAUAUCCCCGGAACGGACACCCCUUUCACAGUACAGAUGUACAAAGAGGCCAUUGGAAAGCCCUACCAACGAAUUACGUUGUACAUCUGUACUCUUGAAGCCGUUGAAAACAGUUGUUACACUGGAACAACCUCUUCAAGUGACGAGGACAGUGUGGUUUUUGCAAAGUUGCCAUCUGGAGAGUCUUGCUGACACCGUGGUGUGGGACUUUCCAAAUGAACAGAGCACUCCCAGAAUGGACAACAGUUUGCCAGGACCUCUCAGGCACCCACAACCAGCGUCUGAUCGGUAGGAUGGAGAACCAACCCCAUUCCAGGAAGAGGUCCAGUCUGCCCCGGGUCAGAACACCUUCUAUAGGUAAACGAUGUUGACAGUUGCAUCGUGACACAGUUGUUUGCAACUACACAACUGUGUAUGCACUUAUCAUUAUUGACAGCCAGUCUGAGCCAGAAGAGGAAACGGAGCAAACUGCAGAGGAA
Molecule: long non-coding RNA, 1021 nt
Organism: Gymnodraco acuticeps
Lineage: Eukaryota; Metazoa; Chordata; Actinopteri; Perciformes; Bathydraconidae
Exons: 9
Source: RefSeq, a predicted model, not a curated record